RNAcentral lists this transfer RNA (68 nucleotides) under Encyrtus sasakii. Its description in RNAcentral is "tRNA-Arg". The record is from RNAcentral. Lineage: Eukaryota; Metazoa; Arthropoda; Insecta; Hymenoptera; Encyrtidae.
UUAAAUAAAUCUAAUUUUUUAGAAAUUAAUUUCGACUUAAUAGUAAGGCAUUGAUUUGCCUAUUUAAU